UUGUGUAAGUAAACUUUAGUCUCCGCAUGUGUAUGUGUGUUUAUCGAGCGCGCGCGCGCAUCGACCGCAUGACGUCAGUGCGCGUCUGGAAACAGCUGACCGCAUUCCAGGAUAAUUGUUUUGCAUAAUCGUGGCUGGAAGCGGAGAGAGAACCGAGUUCUACCAACGACCCUCCUUCGCUUUUUCGUUUAUCCGCUUUCGAAAACUGUGCGUUAGCGAAGGUUGAAAGAGAAAGACGAACAAGAAACAAGAAAAAAAAAGAGAAAAAAAACAGCGAUAAAGAUGGAAAGAGAGAGAGGAGGGGAGGUCAAGAAACAUGAAUGAGAAGGAUCAAAUUCGAUUCUCGAACUUGGUUUUUAUCUACGAGCCUCAAGAAUUUGAUCGUCUCAAAAACAUUUCUUUCGAAACAUCGUUGGAAAUAUUUUCCAAAAGAUACACAUUCAACGUUUCGCGUGAUUCUUUGCUUCAUCGUAGAAUGGAAAAAAAAUAUAAGAAAAAUUGUGUUAGAGUGGAUAAUUCGAAAAGAAAAAACGAAAAAAAUAAGAAAAAAUGUUUAGGUCGAGGGUGAUUGGAUCGAGUUAGACGGGCCUGAGCUCGCUCGUCAAUAGUUUCGCGGCCGGCGCGUUGGCUUUUAAAGUUUAAAGAGCCAACUACGGACGACGGUGGCGGCGGCGGCGGCGGCGGCGGCGGCGGUGGCGAUGAUGGUGGCGGCGGCAACGUCUAGAGAUUGUAGAAGAAAGUAAAAUAAACAAAUAUUCGAAGAAAUUCGUGUAGAAAUCAGCGAAGAUAAGAGGAUACAAAGAAGAAGUUUGAAAAAAUGAGAAGAAGGAAGAGGGGGAGAAAAGGAAGGAAGGAAGGAAGAAGAAAAAGUAAAUCAAGAACGAAGAACUCCAGAGUUGGCGAUGAAAUAUCUCGUUGGAGAACGAGGCUAAGGAAUGCCUCUCGGUAGGAGGAGCCACACACGAGGAUAUUUGCACCAUAUAAGGCCCUGUUUAGCGGCAUCUCCCCACGUCUCUCCCAACCCCCCUCCCCUACCCCACGUGUGUCCCACAUUAUGUCCGGCCAGAAUCUCCGCGAACCCGUAUCCACCUUACCACGGGGGCUUCGCCAAUUUUUCAUUCCUCGUUCUUAGUCGAGCAUAACCAAAAUGAGUAUCGCGACGAGAAAUUCACGAGAAAAUACAAUCGUACGAAAAUGAAUUUCAAAUAAUUUUAAUCUCAUUGAUAAACGGUAUGUUCAUUUAAAGAAAUGAUCUAAAUUUAUUUUACAUUGAUAAAUGAUAAGUAUGAGUAAUAACAAGAAAACGGUUCGAAUUACUGAUAUUCAGUUUCAUGAGAAAUAUUUGAAUGUUGCAAAAUUUAAUAAUAUCAACUUUUACUUAAAAAAAAAAUGUAUGAGGCAACUGAAGUACUUUCGAAACAAUUUAUCAUACACCCUAAAAUAUUAGCCUCCUUUUUUACGAUUUAAUUAUUACUAAAAAUUUCAUAUUUUAAUGAAUUUCUGAUACAACGUAUUAUAUGAACCAACUUGCAUGAAAACAUUUGUUUUAUCGUAGAUUUGUCAGUUUGUUAAAAAGAGAAUAUUAUGAAUAAUUUUUAUUUGUGUUAGUCGUCUUUGGUGACCAAGAAUGAGACGGCCCUGAGCGCCGUUUUGCAAUCCCGGCGGUACGUGUCACAGAAUGGUGCGUCGCGCAUAGUUGUCGCGUGACGUUGGCAGAGAAACAACGCCACCCGACACGCUCUUGCGAUCGGAUGACCCUAUCGAUGUUACAUGUACAUAAAAAAAGAGAGAGAGAGAGA
Molecule: long non-coding RNA, 1799 nt
Filed under: Polistes fuscatus (common paper wasp)
Lineage: Eukaryota; Metazoa; Arthropoda; Insecta; Hymenoptera; Vespidae
Description: uncharacterized LOC122526035
Source: RNAcentral